CCCUUAGAUGUUCUGGGCCGCACGCGCGCUACACUGAUGCAUUCAACGAGUUUCUUCCUGGUCCGAGAGGAAUGGGUAACCUUUUGAAAGUGCAUCGUGAUAGGGAUAGACUAUUGCAAUUAUUGGUCUUCAACGAGGAAUUCCUAGUAGACGUAGUUCAUCAGACUGCAUCGAUUACGUCCCUGCCCUUUGUACACACCGCCCGUCGCUCCUACCGAUUGAAUGCUCAGGUGAGCCAUUCGGACUUUCAUCAUGCUGGUUUCCAGUUUUGAUGAAGGAAAGUCUUGCGAACCUUAUCAUUUAGAGGAAGGAGAAUUCGUAACA
RNAcentral lists this ribosomal RNA (324 nucleotides) under uncultured eukaryote. RNAcentral's name for it is "partial 18S ribosomal RNA". It matches the Rfam family "Eukaryotic small subunit ribosomal RNA", at positions 1470 to 1796 of the family's 1831-position model. The record is from RNAcentral.